AUUGAACGCUGGCGGCAUGCCUUACACAUGCAAGUCGAACGGCAGCACGGAAUUCGCUCUCUCUGAGGGUGGGGGACGGGUGAGUGAUACAUCAGAACGUACGCUGCUAUUGGGUAGUAGGGGUUAAAAUAUGAACUCAUACGCCAUACCACCUGAGGACGAACGGGGGUGACCAGAGGACCUCCGGCCCCUGGACGGUUCGAUGAUGGGUUAGCGAGUUGGUGGGGUAAAGGCCCACCAAGGCGACGAUCCGUAGCUGGUCUGAGAGGAGGAUCAGCCACACUGGAACUGAGACACGGCCCAGACUCCUACGGGAGGCAGCAGUGGGGAAUUUUGGACAAUGGGCGCAAGCCUGAUCCAGCAAUGCCGCGUGUGUGAAGAAGGCCUUCGGGUUGUAAAGCACUUUUGUCCGGAAAGAAAUGCAGCUGGUUAAUACCUCGCGGUGAGGACGGUACCGGAAGAAUAAGCACCGGCUAACUUCGUG
Molecule: ribosomal RNA, 484 nt
Filed under: uncultured bacterium
Lineage: Bacteria
Description: partial 16S ribosomal RNA
Rfam family: Bacterial small subunit ribosomal RNA
Source: RNAcentral